CGUGUAGGCGGCCAGAUAGGUCUGCUGUGAAAACUCGAGGCUCAACCUCGAGCUGUCGGCGGAAACCAUCUGGCUAGAGUCCGGAAGAGGAGAGUGGAAUUCCCGGUGUAGCGGUAAAAUGCGCAGAUAUCGGGAAGAACACCAGUGGCGAAGGCGGCUCUCUGGGACGGUACUGACGCUGAGACGCGAAAGCGUGGGAGCAAACA
This 206-nucleotide ribosomal RNA is filed under the name uncultured bacterium. RNAcentral describes it as "partial 16S ribosomal RNA". It matches the Rfam family "Bacterial small subunit ribosomal RNA", at positions 568 to 774 of the family's 1533-position model. The record is from RNAcentral.